Molecule: small nucleolar RNA, 143 nt
Organism: Homo sapiens (human)
Lineage: Eukaryota; Metazoa; Chordata; Mammalia; Primates; Hominidae
Source: Ensembl
GCCCUAUGUUAAAAUUUUAAUUCUGCACUUACUAACUAUCUUGGGAACCUUGGGCAAGUAACCAACCUCUUGUGCUUUGGUUUCCUCAUUGGUAAAAUGGGGAUAACAGUACUUACCUCACAGAGUUGUUGAGAGGAACAAAU